AGCAAACUUCUGAUUUAUGCCAUGGUGAUUUUUGUCUGUAUUAGGGCCCCAGUGGAGGUACCAACAAUAUAGAUAUAGCAUCCUCGUGGUAGGGAAAUUACACUGAAAGAUGAAAGAUGUCAGAAAGUGAAGACAAAGUCAGGGUCUUCAGCUGCUCUUAUUUCUACAGCAUCCAAGAAUUCAUAUUAGACUCAGUCAAACACCUUGACUUCAUUUUUACUAGUGUGAAUAUCACUAAUUUGCAGUGAGAUUAGGGUUUUCAAAGGAAUUUGAAUUAUCUAUAAGCUUAAUUCAGUUUGCACUGCUCUGAUACUGCUGACACUGUCAAGAAUCUCACUGUGAGUGCUUACAAAAACCAGAGUGGAGAGUUCCUGUUUUCCAGAAGAAUUUUUAGGAUUUUAGAAGAUGAAGAACUCUCUGCUGGCAGCUAUCUUUUUACUUGUUAGAGACUCCUGCCUCUGCACAGACUGGGACUCUCCGUUCUGCCGGCAGCUGCCAGGUGGGUGGAACGCUCGGCUCCCGGCGCGGUGCCCGGGCUCGGCGGGCGCUGAGGGCUGCUGACAGCCAGGGACCGCCGGCUCUCGGGAAACACGGCCCCUAAAAGCCUUUCCCGAGGGGAACACCUGGCCGGAGCAGCACGGGCAGGUGUGCCUGUGUGACCGCAGGGCGCAGGGCUAACCCGGGCGCUGUGAGUGAAGCCCGCUGAGAGCCGCCGCUCCAAAAGACCGCGGAUGCUCCAAUGUUCCUGUGUGACUGCUGUUUCUGCUUUCCAUUUAACUGGGAACUUACUGAUGAUGGCGAAAAGGAACAGUACAACACAUUUUGAUUGAGAGUAUUACAGAGCAGUGGGUGGUCAUCUGAUGUACUUUGUGCAGGAUUUAAUAUAGGCAGGAACAUCCUGCUUGCUAGCAGACACAGCAGAGAUGACAGGUUCUUGAGAACACCGUGACACCGGGCCAGACAUCUGCAGGAGGACUAUGUUCUUCUGAAAUUAGCCAUGGAUAAUUAUCUAGUCCUUGCAAUUAACCUGCCAGACUAAGCUCCACUAAAUCAUUAGUGAGAAAACCAGAUGCUCAGGAAGAAAAACAGAAAGUUCUAGAGUGAAAAAAAUUAAAGGUGGGUGGUUUGGGGUUUGGUUUGUUUGUUGGUUUGGGUUUUUUUUUUUAACUGGA
Molecule: long non-coding RNA, 1172 nt
Filed under: Parus major (Great Tit)
Lineage: Eukaryota; Metazoa; Chordata; Aves; Passeriformes; Paridae
Description: lncRNA (ENSPMJG00000016118.1)
Source: RNAcentral